UAGGGAAUCUUCCGCAAUGGACGCAAGUCUGACGGAGCAACGCCGCGUGAGUGAAGAAGGAUUUCGGUUCGUAAAACUCUGUUGUUAGAGAAGAACAGCGCAUAGAGUAACUGUUAUGCGUGUGACGGUAUCUAACCAGAAAGCCACGGCUAACUACGUGCCAGCAGCCGCGGUAAUACGUAGGUGGCAAGCGUUGUCCGGAGUUAUUGGGCGUAAAGCGAGCGCAGGCGGUCAAUUAAGUCUGAUGUGAAAGCCCCCGGCUCAACCGGGGAGGGUCAUUGGAAACUGGUUGACUUGAGUGCAGAAGAGGAGAGUGGAAUUCCAUGUGUAGCGGUGAAAUGCGUAGAUAUAUUGAGGAACACCAGUGGCGAAGGCGACUCUCUGGUCUGUAACUGACGCUGAGGCUCGAAAGCGUGGGUAGCAAACAGG
RNAcentral lists this ribosomal RNA (429 nucleotides) under Bacteroidota bacterium. RNAcentral's name for it is "Bacteroidetes bacterium partial 16S ribosomal RNA". It matches the Rfam family "Bacterial small subunit ribosomal RNA", at positions 355 to 776 of the family's 1533-position model. Lineage: Bacteria; Pseudomonadati; Bacteroidota. The record is from RNAcentral.